RNAcentral lists this ribosomal RNA (350 nucleotides) under uncultured bacterium. Its description in RNAcentral is "bacterial SSU rRNA". It matches the Rfam family "Bacterial small subunit ribosomal RNA", at positions 8 to 349 of the family's 1533-position model. The record is from RNAcentral.
AGAGUUUGAUCAUGGCUCAGGAUGAACGCUAGCUACAGGCUUAACACAUGCAAGUCGAGGGGAAACGACAUCGAAAGCUUGCUUUUGAUGGGCGUCGACCGGCGCACGGGUGAGUAACGCGUAUCCAACCUGCCCACCACUUGGGGAUAACCUUGCGAAAGUAAGACUAAUACCCAAUGACGUCUCUAGAAGACAUCUGAAGGAGAUUAAAGAUUUAUCGGUGAUGGAUGGGGAUGCGUCUGAUUGGCUUGUUGGCGGGUAACGGCCACCAAGGCGACGAUCAGUAGGGGUUCUGAGAGGAAGGUCCCCCANAUUGGAACUGAGACACGGUCCAAACUCCUACGGGAGCA